RNAcentral lists this ribosomal RNA (430 nucleotides) under uncultured bacterium. RNAcentral describes it as "partial 16S ribosomal RNA". It matches the Rfam family "Bacterial small subunit ribosomal RNA", at positions 354 to 796 of the family's 1533-position model. The record is from RNAcentral.
GUGGGGAAUAUUGCACAAUGGGCGCAAGCCUGAUGCAGCAACGCCGCGUGAGGGACGACGGCCUUCGGGUUGUAAACCUCUUUUAGCAGGGAAGAAGCGAAAGUGACGGUACCUGCAGAAAAAGCACCGGCUAACUACGUGCCAGCAGCCGCGGUAAUACGUAGGGUGCAAGCGUUGUCCGGAAUUAUUGGGCGUAAAGAGCUCGUAGGCGGUUUGUCGCGUCUGCUGUGAAAACCCGAGGCUCAACCUCGGGCCUGCAGUGGGUACGGGCAGACUAGAGUGCUGUAGGGGAGAUUGGAAUUCCUGGUGUAGCGGUGGAAUGCGCAGAUAUCAGGAGGAACACCGAUGGCGAAGGCAGAUCUCUGGGCCGCUACUGACGCUGAGGAGCGAAAGCAUGGGGAGCGAACAGGAUUAGAAACCCCAGUAGUCC